RNAcentral lists this ribosomal RNA (368 nucleotides) under uncultured organism. RNAcentral describes it as "bacterial LSU rRNA". It matches the Rfam family "Bacterial large subunit ribosomal RNA", at positions 2099 to 2465 of the family's 2925-position model. The record is from RNAcentral.
CUUUACUAUAAUCUGAUAUUGGCGUUUGAUUUUUAAUACGUAGAAUAGCUGGGAGGCUUUGAAUGGUCGCUUCAGGGCGAUUAUGAGCCGCAAUGUGAAAUACCAGUUUUUGACCAUUAGACGUCUAACCGGUGCCCAUAAACUGGGGUCGGGACAUUGUUAGAGGGUUAGUUUGACUGGGGCGGUCUCCUCCCAAAAAGUAACGGAGGACUGCUAUGGUUCCCUCAGACCGGUUGGUAAUCGGUCGGCGAGGAUAUGGCUAAAAGGGAGCUUAACUGUGAGACAUACAAGUCGAGCAGAUGGGAAACCAGGCCCAAGUGAUCCGGCGAUAGCUCGUGGGAGCGUCGUCGCUUAAGGGAUAAAAGGUA